GACGAACGCUGGCGGCGUGCUUAACACAUGCAAGUCGAACGGGCCUUGUCCCCUUUUUUUUGGGGGUGGGGUUAGUGGCGAACGGGUGAGUAACACGUGAGUAACCUGCCCCUCACUUCUGGAUAACCGCUUGAAAGGGUGGCUAAUACGGGGUGUUCUGGCCUGCUCGCAUGGGUGGGUUUGGAAAGAUUCGACCGGUUUUGGUUGUUUUGGUGGGGGAUGGGCUCGCGGCCUAUCAGCUUGUUGGUGGGGUGAUGGCCUGCCAAGGCUUUGACGGGUAGCCGGCCUGGGGGGUUGGCGGGCCACACGGGGACUGGGACACGGCCAGACUCCUACGGGAGGCAGCAGUGGGGAAUAUUGCACAAUGGGCGCAAGCCUGAUGCAGCGACGCCGCGUGAGGGAUGGAGGCCUUCGGGUUGUGAACCUCUUUCGCCAGUGAAGAAGGUCCUGCUCUUUGUGGUGGGGUUGACGGUAGCUGGGUUAAUGAAGCGCCGGCUAACUACGUG
Molecule: ribosomal RNA, 506 nt
Filed under: uncultured bacterium
Lineage: Bacteria
Description: partial 16S ribosomal RNA
Rfam family: Bacterial small subunit ribosomal RNA
Source: RNAcentral